This 100-nucleotide transfer RNA is filed under the name Culex quinquefasciatus (southern house mosquito). It matches the Rfam family "tRNA". Rfam says of the family: Transfer RNA (tRNA) molecules are approximately 80 nucleotides in length. Their secondary structure includes four short double-helical elements and three loops (D, anti-codon, and T loops). Further hydrogen bonds mediate the characteristic L-shaped molecular structure. tRNAs have two regions of fundamental functional importance: the anti-codon, which is responsible for specific mRNA codon recognition, and the 3' end, to which the tRNAs corresponding amino acid is attached (by aminoacyl-tRNA synthetases). tRNAs cope with the degeneracy of the genetic code in two manners: having more than one tRNA (with a specific anti-codon) for a particular amino acid; and 'wobble' base-pairing, i.e. permitting non-standard base-pairing at the 3rd anti-codon position. The record is from Rfam by way of RNAcentral. Lineage: Eukaryota; Metazoa; Arthropoda; Insecta; Diptera; Culicidae.
CCUUCGAUAGCUCAGUUGGUAGAGCGGUGGACUGUAGAUGUGCUUCGGCAAGCUCUCAAUAGUAAUCCAUAGGUCACUGGUUCAAAUCCGGUUCGAAGGA